This 5193-nucleotide long non-coding RNA is filed under the name Sus scrofa (pig). RNAcentral's name for it is "lncRNA (ENSSSCG00000054984.1)". The record is from RNAcentral. Lineage: Eukaryota; Metazoa; Chordata; Mammalia; Artiodactyla; Suidae.
UUUCAUGUUUAUUACUUUACAUGUCUGGUAAUCUAAAAAAUGAUUUAACUCUACUUAGUAUAUGUUCUCCCUUCAAACUGGAAGAUGGAAGGGGUUUUAGAGUUCAUUUGAACUAGAGAUUCUAGAAAUGCUGAAUAUCAAAGAAUGUCAUUUUUUUUCUAAAAUGUAAAAAAAAAAUCAGUGCUGGAUAUAAUCAGGAGCUGGUUAUUUAGACAAAAAAAAUAUCCUGUACUAUUGCCAUUACUUCAUCAAAGAAGAACCAAAAGAAAACUAGGCACAAAAAUAAGUAUUUAGUUUUAUAUAUUUUAAAAAGGAUUGAAAUUUUUACCUCAUUAUUCUUAUAAUCUCACAGGUUAGUGGAAAAUUUUAGUAUCACAACUUCAUUAUCACAGACUGGCAUUGGGGAUACCUUUCUAGUCCAAUGCUCUCAAUACUAUAGAAAACUGAAGGAAGUGAUUUUGUGGCUGAAUCAGAAAUAAGACCCCUUUCUUCUGAUUCCCCACUGAGUUGGUGUCUUUAUGUCUAGCUGAAGACCUAGGGCUGACUGUUAAAUUUCCUUGCCUCUCUAUCUUUGUUUUCUUAUUCUGAAAAGCAGGUUGCUGAUGAAGACUACCAAGGUCACUUUCUGUUCCCUAACAUUGAAGAUGGAAGGGGAGAGGUUCUUCACCCAGCGGGGCAUACAGACACAAAUAACAUCUGGAAAACCUCUCACUAGAAUAUAAACCAAAUGGGGAAAGACGAGCUAAAAUGUGAACCAUUUUUCACUUGUGGGUACAUGUUGGCAAUGAGCCAGAUGUGGAGCUCAGUUCUACAAGCGAUUGACACGGGUCCCCAUCAGCUCUGCCAAUCAGAACCACUCAUACUCCAGGACGGUGACUCUGGAAACUCCCAAGAGCCUAUACAAAGAAACUCUUCAUUCAGAACUUGAAGGAUGUCCACACCCAUCUCCAGUGUGCUGAACGUGCCCACGGUGAUGACACCUCCAUCAGGGAAUGAGUCCAGAUAUAAACUAAGCAGGACAAGAAACCUUUGUGCAAUACUAGUUGGUGCAGCCUUAAUUCAGAGACAAUACACACGAUGUCUAGAAAUAAAACACUCCAGCCUUCCCACGUGAAAUUCAAAAGAAAAAUUGAAUGCCAGCUUUCUCUGUUUUAAAUGAAUCUUAAAACACAAAAGUAGGGCUGUUGCUCAGCAACCAAGAUGAACACAGAAAUGGGUUGUUCCUGCAGCUGUGAGACCCUGUGAAGUCCUAGGAGCGUUGGGGGUGGGUGAGCAGGGUUGAAAGUCCCGCCAGCUGAUGUGGUAGUGCAGGUUACAGACAUAGUGACUGGAAGAAAUAAAGGAAUGUGGCCAUUCUUACAUCCUAGUGUUUGGUCCUGAAGAUCAGAUGAGUUACAUGUAAAUGUUGGAGGUACAAAAUGGCAGAGGAACCCAGAAUAAGCCAUUUCAGUCUCUCUGGUGUCAAUCCCAGUGUCAAAGCUUCCUCAAGGGUCCUGUUCGCCAAAGGGAGAAGGACCAGAGAGACAGGGAAACGUCAUUUCAGGGGCUGGAAUAGCACAUGCUAAGCCAGGAAUCACCUCAACACAGGGUGUUAUUUAGAGCACACAUCUCAUGAAACCACAUAAUGCAUCUUCCAGGAAAAUUUCAAAAUUCCAUUAAGUUUUCAAAUGAAUAAAUAACAGGUUGUUAUUUAGGCAAUAACAUGUGACUAUGGGCCCACAGUAUAUUUACUAAACAGUGUCAUUCAAAAUACAUGGAGAGAAAGGCCAAUAUUCUAAUGACAGAAUUACUGAUGGACAAUAGAAAAAAAGAGGAAAUGAUAAAUAUCUGGCCUACUAAAUCAUCCAUUUAUUCCCAAAAUUCCAUCCCAUUUUCUUACUUAUUAGACCUUAGUGUUUUAUUUUAUUCUGUUGUCUGUUUAAUGUACCCUUACAAAUGACAGAGGUCAAUAGAUGGUGAUUAAAUGCAUGGACUAAAAUGGAAUUAAGCUUUGCUUUUUUAGAGUUUUCAAAGUAAAGAAAGUCUUAUCAUAGUUUUGAAGACAGACAUUGUGUAUGUGUGCACGUGUACAUGUGUGGAUACAUUAUGGGCAUGAAUGUAUGCAUGUGUUUAUGAAAGUUAUGUGCAUGUUAUGUGCAUGUGUAUAUGUGUGACGGUGUGUAUAUGCACAUGUGUAUGUUUAUGUGUAUAUAUACAUUGCAUGUGUUUAUAUAUGUGUGUAUAUGACAAGUAUAUGUUUAUGUGAAUGCUUGCAUAGGUGUGUGAGUGUGUUUAUGUGCAUGUGUGUAUAUGUAUAGAUGUGGGUAGGCAUGUGCAUUGUGUGCAUUGUGUAUAUGUGUUCAGAGAUCAUCACUGGGAAUUGUAUGUUCAUACACAUGUGACAACCAUGUGAUGAACAUUUCACAUUUAGCAAUACCUUAAUAGAAACAUAUAACAUACAAACAUAGUUUCAAGAAAAACAAUGACCACUAGGCUUCAAUUGCAUUUUCUUUUUCUUAUCCGUGUCUCCACUUUUUCCUUCUCUACGGCCUCCUAUGUUGCUCAGGGACAGACACUUCACAUGAGAAGCAGACUCUGGACCUAUCCUGUCAGGAUCAGUGAGAAAGGCAGAGGCCAUUCUGAUUCGGUUUUAACGUUUUUUUUCCAAGCUGGCUCAGGGAAAACUGAGGAGCCAGGCAAACAACAACAAGCUUCUAUUCCCACCACUGAAUUGGGCUCAGUUCUCAGGGAGCCUGUUCAGGAAGCACAGAGCAUCCCAAACAGGCAGGAACAGGGACCCUGUGUCCACAGUCCUGUGGCUGGACUCACUGCCACCUCUAGGGGGAACCCCAUUCUCAGGAAUUUUUCCCUCUCAGCACAGCCCAGACCUUGACUUUCCACAGUCCCCUCCCCCACCUGCUCCUCCACAGAAUAUUCACAUUUGGCUUUCAGAUGUCCACAGCUGGCAUUUUUCUUGAAACUUUUUAGUUAAAAUGUGAAUAAAUUAUUCAGGCAGAGGCACAUGUCGGAAUUGUUAUUACCAUAAAAGAACCAAUGCUUCUUGAAUAUUCUACACCAAGAAAAGGAUGGGAAGGCCCUGAGUCUCCAUGAAUAGAGAAAGCUUUUCCUUCAAAGAACUCAAGGUCCUCCGGCGUUCUGAUAAUUACAGUUCACAUGGUCUCUUUUCCUCCAAGUCUGUACACAGGAUAUGCACAAAAGUGUUCGAUGCCCACAGAGGUUUGGGUCAUGCUGAGAUUAAAAAAAAAAAACAAAACCCCAAAACUUAAUAACAAGGAAUAGAUUCCUUUAUUACAGACAUAGCCUUUAACAUGCUAAUUCACACUGAAUCUGCACAUGUGACAGUUCCUGCUACCCUUCCUUGAAACCACGUUUUUCCUCUUGGCGGCACACCUACUAUUCUUUCUUGGGAUUAAUGUUUCAAGGAGCAUAGUUAAUACCAUGAAAUUAAGCAUAAGGGAAGCUAGAGGAAAUAGCAGAAAAGGAGGACAAAGAGGACACAGAUUCCGUACAGGACUGAUUCAUGCCUGUGUCUUGUGUUGGGAUCUUACCCAGCCUUGAUCUCAGAGUGCACUGCCCAUUUCAUUCAUAAAAAGCCAACUUUCUAAAUUAAUGACAGCAUGGCUCCUACCAGAAGGAAUUUCAGUAUGCUCUUCCUUGUCAUGCAGGGCUUCUCUCUAUCUGGCCACCCCCUGCCUUUUUAGCAGAGUCCCCAUUUUGUGUGUGAUAUACAAUCCAUCUAUGACAUGUGGAGCUUCUUGGAAGAUGUCAGGCAUCUUCCUCUUCUUUCACUCUGAUAAUGCUCUUCCUUCUGCCUGGAAAGCUUUCUUCUCCCUACUGUCCCUUCCCUGUGCUCUGCGCAUGCUCAAUCAAUUCCCACCAUCUCUCAAGACUGACCCACACAGAGCAUGGCCAUUGCUUUGACACCUCUGUGAUCUCACCACUUCUUAUACCGCUCACACACCUGCAGAAUAGCAACAGUUAAGUUUGUUAUUUGUAAGUCCUUCUGGACCAGGGGUAUCUCAAGGUCCAAGAACCACAUUCAGCAUCUCCUGCAACCAAUAGACUCUUCCACACAGCACACAAGGAUGGCAUCACAGGAGUGGAUGGACAGUGACCUAAGAGCUCUGUUUUCUGUGACAGAUAACUGAACAAGGUCAGAACAAAAAAGCCUCUUAGUUUUUCCUUCUCAUUGCCAAGCCCCAGUCAUCCUCAAGGGUAGUAAGCGAUUGAAAAGGUUUUAAAACUUGACAAAAAAGAAGAGCCUUGAGACUUCUAAUAGAAUCAAAUGUAGAGACAAGCAUGGUGCCCUUGAACCAGGUUCGCUGGUUCCUUCCCACCCAGUCAUAUCUGCUGAGGCCCCUCUCAGAAGCCCAUGGCUCCAAGAAACCCUUUCUCACAGCUAUUAACACAGGAAAUGUCCCCAUAGUAAAGCUUCUUUAACCAGGAACAAUCCAUCCUCCUGAAGGAUUAUAUUCCACCACCAUGAAGUCAGGCUGUAUCAUGUAUCUGUUCUGCAAUAUGGAAUACAGAUCUUCACUUCCUAGUAUAAUGAAAACCGAUCUACAAAGUUUUCUGAGGGAAAGAGGAAAAUAAAUGCUGCAUACUUUCAAAGCUUUUGUUUGUAAAUGAAAAUGUAUAGAUAACAAUAACUAGCUUUCUGGGCUGAAAACAAAUAAAAACCCACCUAUUUGGAUAUGGGACUUAGAAUUUGCAGGAAGAUUUAGUAUAACCUGUGUAUCCAUUCAAGCACUAAACACAUGCCAGGUGCCAGGUGCUUCCCAGGACUCUGAACAUCAAUAUUUCCUCUGAUUUUAAGGAAUACAGAGUCUGACAGAGGAAGAAAGAUUCAUAAAAUAUAACUUGAAUACAUUUAAUACAUUUAAUAAAUAAUACAGUGUGACAUAGUUCAUAACAGAGAUGUGAAAGACCUACUUCACAGCCAUACACAAGGAAUUAAGCACUGGUAAGGGAAUAUCACUUGCCCCUGGCAUCAAGAGUGGGAACAGGGGAGUUCCCACUGUGGCACAGUGGAUUAAGGAUCUGACUACAGCAGUGUGGGUUGCUGCAGAGGCACAGGUUCGAUCCCAGGCCUGGUAUGUUGGGUUAAGUAUCCAGGGUUGCGACAGCUGUGGUGUAGGUCACAGCUGCUGCUCAGAUUCCAUCCCUGGCCUGGGAAUUUCCAUAUGCUGUAGG